Molecule: ribosomal RNA, 468 nt
Filed under: uncultured bacterium
Lineage: Bacteria
Description: partial 16S ribosomal RNA
Rfam family: Bacterial small subunit ribosomal RNA
Source: RNAcentral
GACGAACGCUGGCGGCGUGCUUAACACAUGCAAGUCGAACGGAAAGGCCCUGCUUUUGUGGGGUGCUCGAGUGGCGAACGGGUGAGUAACACGUGAGUAACCUGCCCUUGACUUUGGGAUAACUUCAGGAAACUGGGGCUAAUACCGGAUAGGAGCUCCUGCUGCAUGGGGGGGGUUGGAAAGUUUCGGCGGUUGGGGAUGGACUCGCGGCUUAUCAGCUUGUUGGUGGGGUAGUGGUUUACCAAGGCUUUGACGGGUAGCCGGCCUGGGAGGGUGACCGGCCACAUUGGGACUGCGAUACGGCCCAGACUCCUACGGGAGGCAGCAGUGGGGAAUAUUGCACAAUGGGCGGAAGCCUGAUGCAGCAACGCCGCGUGCGGGAUGACGGCCUUCGGGUUGUAAACCGCUUUCGCCUGUGACGAAGCGUGAGUGACGGUAAUGGGUAAAGAAGCACCGGCUAACUACGUG